RNAcentral lists this long non-coding RNA (421 nucleotides) under Physcomitrium patens. RNAcentral describes it as "long non-coding RNA (PPAT_LNC000124)". Lineage: Eukaryota; Viridiplantae; Streptophyta; Bryopsida; Funariales; Funariaceae. The record is from RNAcentral.
AUUCUUAAAGAAAUAUUAGAAUGAUUACAAAUAUAUCUCAAAUAUAUCUCAAUUGAAUCUAAAUUUAAUCCUAAUUAAAAUCCUAUUGGACUUUAUUCAAACUUUAGGCCAAAAGAAAAUUACUUAAUUUUAAAUCCUAAAGAAACUCAAAUAAAAUCCUAAAUCCUAAAUCAAACCUUAAUUAAAUCCUAAAUUCUAAAUUAAAUCCUAAUCAAUCUUAAAUUAAAUCCUAAUCAAUCCUAAAUCAAAUCUUAACCAAAUUCUAAAUUCUAAAUCAAAUCCUAAUCUUAAAUCAAAUCCUAACCAAAUCCUUAUCCUUAAUCAAAUUCUAAUCCUAAAUCAAAUCUUAAUCAAAUUCUAACCCUAAAUCAAACCUUAACCAAAUCCUAACCCUAAAUCAAAUCCUAAACCAAAUCCUAAA